GCUGCUGUGGCUCAGAGGUAGAGCACGUCCUUGGUAAGGACGAGGCCGCGGGUUCAAUUCCCGCCAGCAGCUCCA
This 75-nucleotide transfer RNA is filed under the name Planctomycetota bacterium. RNAcentral's name for it is "Planctomycetes bacterium (bioreactor metagenome) tRNA-Thr". It matches the Rfam family "tRNA". Rfam says of the family: Transfer RNA (tRNA) molecules are approximately 80 nucleotides in length. Their secondary structure includes four short double-helical elements and three loops (D, anti-codon, and T loops). Further hydrogen bonds mediate the characteristic L-shaped molecular structure. tRNAs have two regions of fundamental functional importance: the anti-codon, which is responsible for specific mRNA codon recognition, and the 3' end, to which the tRNAs corresponding amino acid is attached (by aminoacyl-tRNA synthetases). tRNAs cope with the degeneracy of the genetic code in two manners: having more than one tRNA (with a specific anti-codon) for a particular amino acid; and 'wobble' base-pairing, i.e. permitting non-standard base-pairing at the 3rd anti-codon position. The record is from RNAcentral. Lineage: Bacteria; Pseudomonadati; Planctomycetota.